Molecule: non-coding RNA, 467 nt
Organism: Cucurbita pepo subsp. pepo (vegetable marrow)
Lineage: Eukaryota; Viridiplantae; Streptophyta; Magnoliopsida; Cucurbitales; Cucurbitaceae
Source: RefSeq, a predicted model, not a curated record
UAUUGGGAGUCGUGCUCGUCUAACAUGGUAUCAGAGUCAUGCUCUAAACUUAGUCGUGUCAAUAGAUUGGUAAAUCUUGAAACGUCGAACAAAGGAAUCAAGCCUCCUCAACCUCCUCAACAAAGGAAUCAAGCGAACUUCGAUUAAGGGGAGGUGUUGGAUGAUUCGAAGGCAUAGUAAAAAAAUGACUAAGACUCCAAAUGAGUCGAGGAUCGAAUGAAAGUGUAUGAGACCUUUUAGGGAAGCCCAAAGCAACAUGAACUAAAAGUGUACAAUAUCAUAUCAUAACCAUCACUAAGUUCACUACUUUUCGUUAUGUUUGUCAUACAGAUAAACGUUAAUAAUAUCUUGUCUUCUCCUCUAAUGUGUAGUGCAGUAAUCUAAAAGGUUUAGGCCAUGAUUUUGGUCGAACACCUUCUUGAAAGUUCGAUAAGAUUUGAAUAAUGCAAUGCAACUAAGUUUCCAUU